RNAcentral lists this transfer RNA (76 nucleotides) under Gemmatimonadota bacterium. Its description in RNAcentral is "Gemmatimonadetes bacterium tRNA-Thr". It matches the Rfam family "tRNA". From Rfam's summary of the family: Transfer RNA (tRNA) molecules are approximately 80 nucleotides in length. Their secondary structure includes four short double-helical elements and three loops (D, anti-codon, and T loops). The record is from RNAcentral. Lineage: Bacteria; Pseudomonadati; Gemmatimonadota.
GCCGCCAUAGCUCAGCUGGUAGAGCGGUUCACUCGUAAUGAAUAGGUCCGCGGUUCAAUUCCGCGUGGCGGCUCCA